RNAcentral lists this small RNA (112 nucleotides) under Ectopseudomonas mendocina. RNAcentral's name for it is "Pseudomonas mendocina 6S RNA". It matches the Rfam family "6S / SsrS RNA", at positions 39 to 148 of the family's 187-position model. Rfam says of the family: E. coli 6S RNA was the first non coding RNA to be sequenced, but its function was unknown until recently. It consists of 184 nucleotides that fold into an extended hairpin structure with a large single-stranded internal bulge. The record is from RNAcentral. Lineage: Bacteria; Pseudomonadati; Pseudomonadota; Gammaproteobacteria; Pseudomonadales; Pseudomonadaceae.
GGCCUAACACUCUUUGAUCAAGGGAGCCCAAUGGGUUUUCUUGCAGCGUACACGCCUUAUAUGAAGGACGUACAAAACAAGAAACAGGGCACCCACCUGUAUAUAACAGGCC